Non-coding RNA from Benincasa hispida (wax gourd), 963 nucleotides. The record is from RefSeq and is a predicted model, not a curated record. NCBI's taxonomy places the organism in Eukaryota, Viridiplantae, Streptophyta, Magnoliopsida, Cucurbitales, Cucurbitaceae.
UACUGCUUGGAUUUUUGUCGGCCUCUUAUUAUUGGAGAAAUUUGUUAUAUAUUUAGCUUUAAAUUUUGAACUUGGAUUUUGGGAUGCUGCUGAUUUGAUCUGUAUUUCCAUAAUUCUUGAUAUAGUAAUUUUAUUUUUUUGUAGUUUGAUUUCUUAAUUGUGAGUGGUGAUUAGUACUUGUAUGUUUAAAUUUUCAGAUAUAUUCAAACAGUCGGUAAAUAAUUUAUGUCUAUGCAGGUAAUGGAUUGAAGAUUGCAAGUCAGAAAGAUUGAAUAAGAUCUACUUAAAAUAAUGUAAUUGAACGUGGUCUAGUUUCGGGAUUUGAAGCUAAUUCGAGCCAAACUACACCAAAGAACCAAUUAACAAGAAGAUCCAAGACAAAUUACCACUUUGCCCCUCAAGAGGAACAAUUCAACACACUUCAGCAAUGCUUGCAGCAUCACAACGCUCCCUACAACAAUGAGUCUGACGCUAGCUUGACACUUAAAGACAGAAUACACCUAUUUGCUGCAAAUAUAGGGCAGAGUUGCAACUCUUCACCCAGUGUCGUAACGCUCUGGAUUUUGACCGAACUUUCCACGCGAGCGCGCGUCUUGCACAACCCAGCAUCACGACUCAAGCCCAACGCUUUUUGGCUUUGUUUUUACGAUUUAGCGUUGCAACGCUAGCCUCAGCAUCGCAAAGCUACACCUACAGAUGUAAAAUCAGUAGUUUCAUUUUCAGCGCAAGAGAGAUAAACUUCAUUUUUCAUUACAAUUUUAGAUUACAAUUGAUGCCUGGAAAACUCAAGUCCAAGUGGCUAGGUCCUUUUGAAAUUACUAAUGUUUUCUUUUAUGGUGCCGUCGAAAUAAAAAGUCUUGAAAUAGGAAAAAUCUUCAAGGUGAACGGACACAAGCUCAAAAUCUACAAUGAAAGGCAUGUAAACCAAGUCCAGUUGAAUUCAUGUUUAGCUAAUUCCUCAUA